Molecule: transfer RNA, 82 nt
Filed under: Xenopus laevis (African clawed frog)
Lineage: Eukaryota; Metazoa; Chordata; Amphibia; Anura; Pipidae
Rfam family: tRNA
About the family: Transfer RNA (tRNA) molecules are approximately 80 nucleotides in length. Their secondary structure includes four short double-helical elements and three loops (D, anti-codon, and T loops). Further hydrogen bonds mediate the characteristic L-shaped molecular structure. tRNAs have two regions of fundamental functional importance: the anti-codon, which is responsible for specific mRNA codon recognition, and the 3' end, to which the tRNAs corresponding amino acid is attached (by aminoacyl-tRNA synthetases). tRNAs cope with the degeneracy of the genetic code in two manners: having more than one tRNA (with a specific anti-codon) for a particular amino acid; and 'wobble' base-pairing, i.e. permitting non-standard base-pairing at the 3rd anti-codon position.
Source: Rfam by way of RNAcentral
ACCAGGAUGGCUAAUUGUUAAGGAAUUGGGCUUAAAAUUCAAUGGAUGUAUGUCCGCAUGGGUUCAAACCCCUCUCCUGGUG